GACGAACGCUGGCGGCGUGCUUAACACAUGCAAGUCGAACGGAAAGGCCCUGCUUUUGUGGGGUGCUCGAGUGGCGAACGGGUGAGUAACACGUGAGUAACCUGCCCUUGACUUUGGGAUAACUUCAGGAAACUGGGGCUAAUACCGUAUAGGAGCUCCUGCUGCAUGGUGGGGGUUGGAAAGUUUCGGCGGUUGUGGAUGGAUUCGCGGCUUAUCAGCUUGUUGGUGGGGUAGUGGCUUACCCAGGCUUUGACGGGUAGCCGGCCUGAGAGGGUGACCGGCCACAUUGGGACUGAGAUACGGCCCAGACUCCUACGGGAGGCAGCAGUGGGGAAUAUUGCACAAUGGGCGGAAGCCUGAUGCAGCAACGCCGCGUGCGGGAUGACGGCCUUCGGGUUGUAAACCGCUUUCGCCUGUGACGAAGCGUGAGUGACGGUAAUGGGUAAAGAAGCACCGGCUAACUACGUG
RNAcentral lists this ribosomal RNA (468 nucleotides) under uncultured bacterium. RNAcentral's name for it is "partial 16S ribosomal RNA". It matches the Rfam family "Bacterial small subunit ribosomal RNA", at positions 28 to 507 of the family's 1533-position model. The record is from RNAcentral.